CAGCAGCAGCCGCGGUAAUACGAAGGGGGCUAGCGUUGUUCGGAUUUACUGGGCGUAAAGGGCGCGUAGGCGGACUGAUAAGUCAGGGGUGAAAUCCCAAGGCUCAACCUUGGAAUUGCCUUCGAUACUGGCUGUCUUGAGUAUGAGAGAGGUGUGUGGAACUCCGAGUGUAGAGGUGAAAUUCGUAGAUAUUCGGAAGAACACCAGUGGCGAAGGCGACACACUGGCUCAUUACUGAUGCUGAGGCGCGAAAGCGUGGGGAGCAAACAGGAUUAGAUACCCUAGUAGUCCCUGUCUCUUAUAC
RNAcentral lists this ribosomal RNA (304 nucleotides) under uncultured bacterium. RNAcentral's name for it is "partial 16S ribosomal RNA". It matches the Rfam family "Bacterial small subunit ribosomal RNA", at positions 506 to 807 of the family's 1533-position model. The record is from RNAcentral.